GAAACGACUGCUAAGACUGGAUAGGAAAAGUAAAGGCAUCUUUACUUUUUUAAAAGAUCUUCUUUGAAGGUAUGCUUAAGGAGGGGCUUGCGACACAUUAGUUAGUUGGCAGGGUAAAGGCCUACCAAGACUAUGAUGUGUAGCUGGACUGAGAGGUUGAACAGCCACAUUGGGACUGAGACACGGCCCAAACUCCUACGGGAGGCAGCAGUAGGGAAUUUUCGGCAAUGGAGGAAACUCUGACCGAGCAACGCCGCGUGAACGAUGAAGUACCUCGGUAUGUAAAGUUCUUUUAUUAAGGAAGAAAAAAGAGUGGAAAAACUCCCUUGACGGUACUUAAUGAAUAAGCCCCGGCUAAUUAUGUGCCAGCAGCCGCGGUAAUACAUAAGGGGCGAGCGUUAUCCGGAAUUAUUGGGCGUAAAGGGUGCGUAGGCGGUUUAAUAAGUCUAUAGUUUAAUUUCAGUGCUUAACGCUGUUGUGCUAUAGAAACUGUUUUACUAGAGUGAGAUAGAGGCAAGCGGAAUUCCAUGUGUAGCGGUAAAAUGCGUAAAUAUAUGGAGGAACACCAGAGGCGUAGGCGGCUUGCUGGGUCUUUACUGACGCUGAGGCACGAAAGCGUGGGGAGCAAACAGGAUUAGAUACCCUGGUAGUCCACGCCGUAAACGAUGAGUACUAAGUGUCGGGUAAAACUGGUACUGAAGUUAACACAUUAAGUACUCCGCCUGAGUAGUACGUACGCAAGUAUGAAACUUAAAGGAAUUGACGGGACUCCGCACAAGCGGUGGAUCAUGUUGUUUAAUUCGAAGAUACACGAAAAACCUUACCAGGUCUUGACAUUUUCUUGCGAAAUUAUAGAAAUAUAAUGGAGGUUAUCAGGAAAACAGGUGGUGCAUGGUUGUCGUCAGCUCGUGUCGUGAGAUGUUAGGUUAAGUCCUAAAACGAGCGCAACCCUUGUCGUUAAUUGCCAGCAUGUAAUGAUGGGGACUUUAACGAGACUGCCAAUGAAAAAUUGGAGGAAGGUGGGGAUUACGUCAAAUCAUCAUGCCCCUUAUGAUCUGGGCUACAAACGUGAUACAAUGGUUGAUACAAAGAGUAGCUGAAACGCGAGUUCUUAGCCAAUCUCAAAAAAUCAAUCUCAGUUCGGAUUGAAGUCUGCAACUCGACUUCAUGAAGUUGGAAUCGCUAGUAAUCGCGAAUCAGCAUGUCGCGGUGAAUACGUUCUCGGGGUUUGUACACACCGCCCGUCA
Molecule: ribosomal RNA, 1247 nt
Filed under: Cassava frogskin disease phytoplasma
Lineage: Bacteria; Bacillati; Mycoplasmatota; Mollicutes; Acholeplasmatales; Acholeplasmataceae
Description: bacterial SSU rRNA
Rfam family: Bacterial small subunit ribosomal RNA
Source: RNAcentral